ACAAACUUUUGUACCUAACCCGUGCAUACUGGAUUGGAAAAUGCGAAGACGGGACUGUGGGCCUGGCCCUCCUGUACAAUCAGUCCCCGGGGCAGUCCGUCUGCAGAGACUGCGAGUCCUGCGUGAGAGAUAGUCCUUGUGAUAGUGAUCAGCGUUUCAUCUGCGAGAGGCCGGCACCUUUGUUCGCGGAUAUUCCUGAAGAAAUCCAUGGUCUCUGUCAACAGCCAGUGGAGGCGACAUGAUUCAGCUGGGUGGCCUCACCGACGCCUGUAGUCGGGGUGACUGGUGAAGAACAGCGUGGCAAGUGUCCUGUCCACCCUAUCGGAUGUUUUCCACCGGAAUCGUUAUUUCAAUUAUUAUCUGAAGCUAAUAACC
Molecule: long non-coding RNA, 375 nt
Organism: Hypanus sabinus (Atlantic stingray)
Lineage: Eukaryota; Metazoa; Chordata; Chondrichthyes; Myliobatiformes; Dasyatidae
Exons: 3
Source: RefSeq, a predicted model, not a curated record